This is a non-coding RNA of Xyrichtys novacula (pearly razorfish), 1195 nucleotides long. NCBI's taxonomy places the organism in Eukaryota, Metazoa, Chordata, Actinopteri, Labriformes, Labridae. The record is from the annotation of a GenBank genome assembly.
GGAGAGCGCAGACCUCCGCAAAGCAGCUCAUGUCCCCCCUUAUAUUGUGAUUCACACCAAAACUUUUACUGUUACGUGUCUUUUAUUAACUUUUAUUUGUGUUUAAACUGGUAUGUUCACUGUUCAUAAUGUUCCUAAUACAACAAAGUUCAUAUUAGAUACAUAAAUGCAUGAUUUAUUAUGCAAUAUUUGUAAGCGUACACUUCCUUGUAUCUUCAUUGAUUAUCUUUCAGCAUUGAAUAUUCCAACGACACCCUUAUUUUUGUGUGUUCUAGAUCACGGUAUCCGGAAUUUUGUCUGGAUCAGGAUCAACCUUUGACACCUCAUAAAACUCAAUGAGAUCCUUGUGUGCAAUUUUUUACUAAAGACUCUGGUCAUUUUUAUAGAGUUAAAUGCAAAAAUUCCAAAAUUUGCCCUAUCUCACAACGAUAAAGAUUCCUUCAAAAAACUCCUGGAUCCAGAAGGCGAUCCGGAUCACCACCAAAAUUUAAUGGGAUCCUCCUGGGGCUGAGACGCAUCUCUGGUGAAAAUUUCAGGUCAAUCCGUCUGUAACUUUCUCCGUAAAGUUAGUCACAGACAAACAAACAAACAAACCAACGCUACCAAAAACAUAACCUCCUUGGCGGAGGUAAUCAACAUGGAUCAAAGUAAGAGGAAUGAAAAUUGACAUACAAUAAAAACAAAGUAGUAGGAGUACAGCUACUGAAAUCUGACUAUGAUGGUCUGCUUAUGUAUAUAUGUUUUAUUAGCCUACGAGAGAGGACUGUGUGAACCAUAACUCGCAGCAAAAGCCUGAUUGUAAAACAGUAUAAGAGGCAUGAUUAUGUCUGAAUUUACCGUCAGGAAGAUUGUUAAAAAGGUAUGAGUUAUGAUUAUUAAAUUUCUGUGGGAUCCCUGUUUUCAUCUUUAAAUCUUCCUUCUGAACAACACAAAGCUUUAGCGUUUAAGGCUGAGCGGAGUUGUUGGAAGGUUAAGGACCUGUAGAAGUGAACAAAAUGUCCUGCCAGCUCUUCUACGAAGGCAUCCUGCACGUCUCAGGAGUCUUUCUUUAUGACAGUUGGAGCAGCAGGAGGAGAGGACGUCUUGCAAAUAUAAAAGAUAGGAAAAUGCUGGCCAUGUCACAUUUUCCAUGGUCGCAACCACACUUUGGCGUAAACUCUGGAGGCAAUACUCUUCUGACCCGGUAGGUUUUUGU